GCGUUGUCCGGAUUUAUUGGGCGUAAAGAGCUCGUAGGCGGCUGUCCACGUCGGAUGUGAAAGCUCGGGGCUCAACCCUGAGAGGCCAUUCGAUACGGGACGGCUAGAGGCAGGUAGGGGAGAUCGGAAUUCCUGGUGUAGCGGUGAAAUGCGCAGAUAUCAGGAGGAACACCGGUGGCGAAGGCGGAUCUCUGGGCCUUGCCUGACGCUGAGGAGCGAAAGCUGG
RNAcentral lists this ribosomal RNA (226 nucleotides) under uncultured bacterium. RNAcentral's name for it is "partial 16S ribosomal RNA". It matches the Rfam family "Bacterial small subunit ribosomal RNA", at positions 538 to 763 of the family's 1533-position model. The record is from RNAcentral.